This is a non-coding RNA of Populus trichocarpa (black cottonwood), 100 nucleotides long. NCBI's taxonomy places the organism in Eukaryota, Viridiplantae, Streptophyta, Magnoliopsida, Malpighiales, Salicaceae. The record is from Rfam.
UGAGAUUACAAGGAGGAUUUUCAGCUCCCUCUUCUGAUUUAAAGUUGAGGAAACUAGCUGGCCGAAUCGAACCAAUUUAUUUACAGCCAUCACUGAGUAA